UGGGGAAUAUUGGACAAUGGGCGAAAGCCUGAUCCAGCCAUGCCGCGUGUGUGAAGAAGGUCUUCGGAUUGUAAAGCACUUUAAGUUGGGAGGAAGGGCAGUUACCUAAUACGUGAUUGUUUUGACGUUACCGACAGAAUAAGCACCGGCUAACUCUGUGCCAGCAGCCGCGGUAAUACAGAGGGUGCAAGCGUUAAUCGGAAUUACUGGGCGUAAAGCGCGCGUAGGUGGUUUGUUAAGUUGGAUGUGAAAUCCCCGGGCUCAACCUGGGAACUGCAUUCAAAACUGACUGACUAGAGUAUGGUAGAGGGUGGUGGAAUUUCCUGUGUAGCGGUGAAAUGCGUAGAUAUAGGAAGGAACACCAGUGGCGAAGGCGACCACCUGGACUGAUACUGACACUGAGGUGCGAAAGCGUGGGGAGCAAACAGGAUUAGAUACCCCCGUAGUCCCUGAGCGGGCUGGCAAGGCGCAU
This 472-nucleotide ribosomal RNA is filed under the name uncultured bacterium. RNAcentral describes it as "bacterial SSU rRNA". It matches the Rfam family "Bacterial small subunit ribosomal RNA", at positions 355 to 825 of the family's 1533-position model. The record is from RNAcentral.